CACGUAGGGCGCAAGCGUUGUCCGGAAUUAUUGGGCGUAAAGAGCUCGUAGGCGGUCUGUUACGUCUGCUGUGAAAACCCAGGGCUUAACCCUGGGCUUGCAGUGGAUACGGGCAGACUAGAGGCAGGUAGGGGAGAAUGGAAUUCCCGGUGUAGCGGUGAAAUGCGCAGAUAUCGGGAGGAACACCGGUGGCGAAGGCGGUUCUCUGGGCCUGUACUGACGCUGAGGAGCGAAAGCGUGGGGAGCGAACAGG
RNAcentral lists this ribosomal RNA (253 nucleotides) under uncultured bacterium. Its description in RNAcentral is "partial 16S ribosomal RNA". It matches the Rfam family "Bacterial small subunit ribosomal RNA", at positions 524 to 776 of the family's 1533-position model. The record is from RNAcentral.